GCCGAAGCCGCGGACCCCCAACAUCGAUCCUCCCCAAUCCGCCUUUGUGGUGGUUGGGCAGGGGUUGGGGGUGGUAGGGGAGCGUCCUGCACUGGGUGAAGCCUGGGGGUGACCCACGGGUGGACGGUGCGGGAGUGAGAAUGCAGGCAUGAGUAGCGAUGACUAGGGUGAGAAGCCCUAGCGCCGAGAGACCAAGGGUUCCAGGGCCAGGCUAGUCCGCCCUGGGUGAGUCGGGACCUAAGGCGAGGCCGACAGGCGUAGUCGAUGGAUGACGGGUUGAUAUUCCCGUACCGGCGAAGGACCGACCAUGCUGACGCGUGGGUGCUAACCCACGCUGCUGGCCCAUAUUGUGGCCGCACCUGACCAUGUGUGGUGGGUGUGGCUGGUGUGGCUGGUGGUCUGGGGAUCCUCCGUGCUGGUAGGCAAGCGUGUUAACAGGGGUGACGCACAGUGGUAGCCCGGCGGGCCUAAUGGCUUGGCCUGUUCAAGCGCGCAGCCCGGUUCCUAGGGUAAAUCCGGGGGCCAGCCUCAGUGCGUGGGGCGGGGGAUAACCGG
Molecule: ribosomal RNA, 555 nt
Filed under: uncultured bacterium
Lineage: Bacteria
Description: bacterial LSU rRNA
Rfam family: Bacterial large subunit ribosomal RNA
Source: RNAcentral